GCUUGUCUAGCUCAGUCGGUAGAGCGCAAGACUCUUAACCUUGAAGUUUUGGGUUCAAGCCCCAUGGUGGGCG
Molecule: non-coding RNA, 73 nt
Organism: Zea mays
Lineage: Eukaryota; Viridiplantae; Streptophyta; Magnoliopsida; Poales; Poaceae
Source: Rfam